CCUUCUGGACACUCGAGAACUUUCCAGGAGCCUCCAGGGAUGGUACUGAACACGAGCCAGCAAGAGGAGUGGAUACAAGAGGGGGACGAGCGGAGGCCCUCUCCUCCUUUUUUCCUUCCCCGCACGAGACCGGACGGAGCGGCGGAGGUCUCAGACUAGCGGCUGCCGGGAGCGCUCCGCGUGGAUUCGCGGCCGAGGAUCAGAGGAAGUGAAAAAGAGCUCUCAUUUCUCUUCACCACCUUCUCUGUAUAUUUGCUGAGCAUUCUAGUAAAGAGGAGCGUAACUUUGCAUCUGGUGACGGGUGGCAAAAGGCCCUGGGACGUGACUGUUCACUCUGAAGUCCAAUAUGCAGAGGAAGUUAGAACUGAAGUAAGCCUGCUAAUACCAGGAAGAAAGCACUAGCACAGCUGGCAAUAUGCUGGGAAUGUACUAUAAACCCUGAAACCAGGAUCAGCUGAACAAAGCUUACUGGUGAUUUCCAGCUGAGGGUCAGCAGAUCCCUAUACUGAGAUGACUGCCUUUUAUUCAUGAAAUUUCACAGAAUCAUCGAAUUUCUUGUUAGAAAAGAUCUGCCAUAUCAUCAAGUCCAACCACUAACCUCAUACUGCCAAACCUACCACUAAACCAUGUCCAUCAGCACCUCAGCUACACAGCUUUUAAAUAUCUCCAGGAAUGGAAAUUUCACUACAGAGUCACCCGCUGGAAAACAGGAUAAAGGACAAAUGCUAGCUAGUAACUUUUUGCUACUCUUCAGUGAUGACUUUUUGAUUAAAAAAAAAGCUGGAAAAACCAAUCUGGAGGCCAUCAUAACCAGUGAGCUGGAAGGAGCUAGUUAAGAAGGUGAAGCUGAGGAGGACAAGACAGACAGGAGGAAUACCUUUGGACAGGGGUAAAAGCAUAACAAUAAACCAAAAGCAGACAUCUUCAAGGAACAUCCAUAGAAUAUAGGUGAAUAUAAUAAUCUGCAAAUAUAAAGGACGUGGGACAACAGGUUGUAGUGCUGAAGAGGAUUUGGACAUUAUGUCAUAAAGCUGAGCAGGCAUCAAGUGAUGCUAUCACAAAAGACAAAAAAGGCAAUACUCAGGUACACAAGGGAUUUGUUGCCUGUGAAAACAGGAAAUAAUCCAUCUGUUUUACUGUACAAAUUUGUAAGUUAUCAGUCAGUCACUGGAGAGAGAACUGCGUUCAGCCUUGAGAAUCCCAGGCUGGGAUGGAAGCAGACGACUUAAGGUACUAGAAGCGGAUUAGGAAUGAACACAAGCUGAAAAAGCGUAACAUAGGUAGAAAGAGGAAAAAAACAACUACUCACAACUACUUGAUCUAGAAAAGAGGCUGAAGAACAUGAAGAAAAUUCAUCAGAACAGUUUUCAGACACAUAGCAAGGUCCUGCAAAGAACAGUGUCCUCUGUGACCUUCCUGAAUGUCCAUCUGUAAUCAUGUAGUUCCACGUCUGUAAUGAAUAGAACAAGAAGAAUUGGGAUAAAAAUGCAGUAAAGGUCAUUCAGGUUGGAUACAAAAAAUAUCUUUAUCACAGUAAAAUGCUGGUAUUGAUUUCCUGGAAAUAUCAUGACUGCUUUAGAUGAACAUCUCUGUAAUGACACAGAUGCAAUUGGUCUUAGCUGGUACAGGGCAUGGACCUUCUUAGUACUGAAGCUAUUCUCAGAUUUUUCUGGAUUGACAGACCUUCCAAAUGGAACAAAAGUAAUUAGUAUAUACAUAAGAUCUUAAUAUACGGGAGAUUAGCAAAAAAUGCCCACAGAUCUCACUGAACAAAAUUGUGUAGUGUCAUUUUCCAAAUGAUCACAUCACCAUUAUGGCUCUACGUGCUGUAUGUAUAGAGCUCACAAAGCUUAGCUGAACAAGGCCAAUCAAAAAGUACUUUAAAGAUUUGCAGCUAAUUACUGUUUAGAUUAUGGAAUGACAUAAUGGACUAUUGAGCCAGAGCCUCGUUCAGGAUAAUGUAAAUCGUAUCUGCACACACAACCACUCAGCAUUACUGAGCGAUGGGGGCCUCUAUAGUUUGCUGCAACAGUUUGCAAGGUGGAAAUGCUCUUUGGAAGCUUAUUUUAACAUCUACACAUCCCACCCUGCACCAACUUGUCUUGUGACUGAAUCUUUAUUUUGCUACAGGGGAAGAUAUAAUUUGCUAUCACUAUGUGCAGUCACUGGUUCCUUGCAUCAGUGAACAAGAGAGCAGUCAGGGAAGAAAAUACGACUUCAAAAACACUAAGGCGUUUGAAGUGCCCUGGCUUCCUUUACUGUUUGUUCUGAUGAUGUGUUGUCUUGGGAAUGCACAAAAGCAAUAGUUUCUCUCCUGCACCUGUGAUCUGCUUGACACAAGGAGCACUGAUUAGCUAUCAGGGAGCUAUGAAUCAUCUCCCAGUUCUGUUGACCAGUUAAUAUUCACCUCGGGGGGAGGUAACAUGCCAGUGAAGUGCUAAUGUACACCAGAAACUUAACAGCCUGUCUAUUCUGACUGCAGUACCCUAUCCUUCGCUCAUACCCUGCCUCUGAAAUAUUCCCUGUGCAGGAACCCUAUGUUGGUUCCCUGAACUGUAGAAAUGAUGAUUUUCCCAUCAGGAGGAUGCUUUGGUUUUGCUCCUUUCUGACCCAAUUAUGCUGCUUGAAUGUAGCCGACACGGCUGCAUGUGUCUGAAAGGUACCUGCUGAGCUUCGAACAGACCAUCAAAGGCUCUGAACAGUCAAGGUCUGCUGCUAAUGGUCACAACAGGCAACAGGUCCUCCCUUUGGCCUGCCACUUAAAGAAAGGAGAAGGAAAACAGGUGACAUUGAAAAAAGAUGCUUGCUGGUGCAGAAAAAAGGGGAACUGCUGCUCUUAUGUGGGAAGCGACAAAUUGCUGAUAGAGGGGAAGUCUGUAAAGGGCUCCUGAACCUGGAUCCAGCUGCAGCUGGCAACAGGAGACCAUCCUUCUCCAGAGGCAGCUUUGCUGAAAAACAAAGGAAAAAUGUUUGCAUAGGAACCAUGGGCUCAUGGGUACAUAGCAUAGUUAGCUGCCCAACAGCUAACAGUGUUGAAAGGGUUAUUAACAGUGUUACCACUAUUGCUGAUGUCAUGUUUUAUGUCUCUGAAAAAUCUAACCCUGUUUAGCAUUGGUAUUAGGUCUUGUGGAACACCAAAUACAUGAAACAAAGCAACUGGGGCAUCUUAUUUGUUGUAUUUACAUUAUGAAAUGUGCUAAUAGUUUACUAAUUGUACCAAAUUGAGGAACAAGUGAGAAGAACGGAGGCUCAAUGACAUCUUGCAUCUAAUACUCAAGUCCUUUGUACUUAAUACUUUGGUUUGUUCUAACUUUUCCUUUAUCCCCGCUGUCACCAGCAUGCAUUUUAAAAGCUUGCACGGGAUUUAUUCUUUUUGUUUCCAUGGCAGCAAUAAGACUGAUCCCUCAGAUAUGGAAAUCUCCAUUUAUUCUGAAAAUUGUUUCCUGGCAAAAUUGUGUUGGAUCAUAAUCCUGCAAUUGAACAUACCAGAAUUUAAUCUUUACAUAUAUCUUGUAUAGAUUUCUUUUGGUAUGUAGUCAAGGACAGAAACAUUUGGCCUGCUUCCUGGGCUAUCAAUUGUACUAGCUGAUGCUUUUUUUGUGCUUCAAUUUCUAUCUUGAAUUAGGAGUUAACUAUUUUGCUGGCCUUUGGACUGGUAUAACCACGUUUUUGGCUGUGCAGCUUGUGGCAUUUUUGAUCCAGCAAAAUGAAUGCAAAUUUUAUUACUUCAACAGAGGAAAGCAAGAGCACAUCUGCUAUUUAGCAUAUUUGAUCAUUUUAGUUGAAUGAUGAUAGACUUUGCAGAGAAUUAUUUAUCUGGUUUUGUGGAUUCAUCUUCCAAUCAGUUAUUCAAAAAGUUACAGAUGAUAUUUUUGUUGUAUUUAUGUUGAGCCCUAUUUUAUUUUACAAAGCUCUUAAUUAAUCUUGCAAAUCAAUAGGGAAAAAAAGAAUCCCUUUGCCUUUCUUGCUAAGCCGUCUAUUUUAUUUGUAAUUCCUUCUUGUCCUUGAUUAAAAUUGAAAUCAGAUAGACUUGCCUGCAAGCGUGAAGGAAAUCAAGCUUAGACACCUGAGUAGAACUGAAAUUGGACCAGGAAUAAAUGCUUCCAGGUUAGCAACUGCAGUGAGAUAAAUGAGGUGGGGGUGAAGAAAGAGAAGUUCUGUGACCGUGUCCUCAGUGUUUCCUGUGGUCAGCGGCUCUGACUUUCUUUCAUUCACUCUGUACCCUUUCAACUUCUGACAUAGUAAUAGGUGAAGCUGUGAAAUGCCACUCAUUUACAUGUGGGUAAAAUACUGAAAUGACUUACUAAAGGAUCUUAAAGCACUAUAAUUAACCUAUCACAAAAUAUAAUAUACCACAAAUGCUUUUUAAAGUUUAAUCUACUAAUAACGCUCAGCAUGCAUUAACAUUUCCCCCAUUUUUUAUGUGUCACACAUCAGUGGUUAGAUAAACACUCUGAUUACCAUCAGUUUUAUGUCACAUUGAGAGUCCAAGUUGAUAACUGCCAUUAAUCACAAUCUCAGCAGCACGGCACUUUGAACAUAUCUACCACAGAGCUCUGACAGCAGUGACCAAUAAGGGACGUAACUUGUUCUGGUGAAUACAAAAGGAUGUGCUUCAUCGCUUUAUAUCCACAUACCCUUUCAACCACAGAGAACCUCCAAGAACCAUGAAUAUUAGGGAGCCUGUUUGUAUGCUUUGUACUCAGAAGAAGGUUUUUUUAUUGUAAAACAACAAACUAGCUAAAAUACAGACUUACAGUGAUCAAACUGAGAGUGGGUUUGUUCAUAUUCAUUCAUACUUUAUCAACUAUGAUUGAAGCCCUCUGGCCCCUGUGAGGCCAUGUGUUUUCUAGCUGACAGAGGGAGAUAAGCUAUUGCAGGAAAAGCUGUGCACUAACAAACAGGAAAAACAGCAGGAUGGGGAAUAUUACUAUCAGGAAUUGUUCACGACAGAGUUGUGGUCCUGAUUGAACAAUUUUUACAAUGUUCUCAGUUUAACAAUGAAACACCUAUCGAAUAUAAAGCUUCUGAACAGAAGACAAAAUUCAUCAUGAAUUAUUUCAAGCUUCAUGAUUUUGAUAACUUGUCAUGUUUGGGGUUUUUUUUUCUGUUGAGGAAAGGGAGAAACUAGUUUAUGCUUCUUUGAACAUUGAGCUGAUAAUAUUGACUCUACAGACAACUAUACAGAUGUUCUGAGCUAUCAGAUCUGCCACGACUCAUCUGUAAGAAAAUGUGAGUUCAUUCCCAAGCAUUUUGGUGGCUAUCUGAAUGUCUAUAUACAUGCUAUAGUUCCUUUAACAUAUGUCAAAUCCACUGUAUUUAAAAGACUUUUCUUCUUGUUCUCUAGCCACUUCAGUGGUUCAGAUACAACACUGCCCUUUAAUAGGUCACUGAGGAAGCUAAAACUGAAGCAAUUUGAUUGAUGUUCCUCUGUAAUCCGUCAUUAAAUAGGGGCAAGUCAAUCAUUAUUACAGAAUCUCAAGAAUCACAGAAUUCAAGGGCUGGAAGGGACCUUGAACAGUCAUUCAGUCCAACCGCCCUGCCAGAGCAGGACCACCUUAAGUAGCUCACACAGGAACUCGUCCAGGUGGGUUUUGAGUGUCCCCAGAGAAGAAGACUCCAGAACGCACCUGGGCAGCCCCUGCCAGUGCUCCCUCACCUUCACAGUGAAGAAAUUCUUCCUUCUAUUUCUUUGGAACCUCCUGUGUUCCAGCUUACACCCAUUGCCCUUUGUCCUGUCAUUGGCCAUCAUUGAGAAGAGCCUGGCUCCAUCCUCCUGACACCCGGCCUUUACAUAUUUAUAAACAUGAAUGAGAUUGUUAAUGUAAUAAGAAAAAAUUAGGGAGGGAAGAUGAAGUAAAAAAAAAAUCCAACUUUGUUGUGACUUUACAUGUGCCACGUUAAAUGUGCAACAAUUACUACAUGCUAAAACUUUUCAUUUUGUAGCCAAAACUAUCAUUCUGUAUUUCUUACAUUGCUGCUCAUGUGAGAUUAGUGUUGCUGCAUACAACACGUAAACACUAAAAGACAAACUCGCAGAUUUCAGAGCCUUAUGGAAUAAAUUUAUGGGAUGUAUCAAAAGGCUGAAGAAGUGAGAGAAACUGAAAUUUGUUGUCCUUGAAGGUGUUCACAAUCUGGAUACAUGUCACUGUGAAUAGAAGCUGACUUAGCCUAUAUUUAGUCUUCCUAUUUUUAGAUAGGAUAUUAACUUUUAAUUUUUUAAUAUUUACAGGCACUCGUCACCAGUUUAAGUAACUGACCUUCUUUAUAGUUCAUUAAUGUAGAACUUUUUAUUGUCUUUUGAACUGACCGUACUUUUGCCCUGACAUAAAACGAUAACAAUUUUCAUGGCCUGUGAUACUCAGGAGGUCAGACUAGAUUAACUACAGGUCUCUUUUGGCCUUAAAAACCUUUUAUGUAGCAGUUUUUUGCUGGAAAUGUCAUAACAAUCCUGUCUGACUGCAAGUUAUUAAAUUAUAUGCUUAUUGAAAGAUAACUUGGUUCUUAAAAAGUACAACUAAGUAAAAAUUUUGCAUUAAAACAUAUGAAGCAAAUUUUGAGCCCUCUGUCUUAAUAUUUUCUGGCUAAGUUUUUACCUACUAUGCACAGGGACUGUGUUUCUUGCAGGCAAAUGGUAAGGAUACAUUUAAUGUGUGAAUCAUUU
Colius striatus (speckled mousebird) is the source of this 6664-nucleotide long non-coding RNA. RefSeq lists it as uncharacterized. The transcript is spliced from 5 exons. The record is from RefSeq and is a predicted model, not a curated record. NCBI's taxonomy places the organism in Eukaryota, Metazoa, Chordata, Aves, Coliiformes, Coliidae.